AUGGCUCUGAACUCACAAUGUAGCCCAGGCUGGCCUCGAACUUUCAGCGAUCCUCCUGCCUCAGCCUCCCAAGCACUAGGACAACAGGUGUGCACGACCAUGCCUGGCAGUUGCACAAUAAUGUGCAAGUAUUUUAUGCUACUGAAAGGUUUGCGUGGAAGAGACCCCGUGAGAAGCUAACACACGUAGGUCCCAACUCCGAGGAACCACGCUGGCACCAGUGUGUGUCUUCCUCUUUCCUAGAACACACUUGAGUCCGUGUGGCCGUGCAUUCUGUUUUAUUGUCCUCUCUUUGCUGAUACACAGCGAGAAAUCCCCUCACCGAAGUCCUCCAGCACGUGGAGAUGACAGCAGAGCUGUCCACUCUACCCAUGGCCCACAUGGACCUCCUCUGCCGGGUGCCCCACUGCUGGAGGCCUCAGCGACUCACAUGAGUGUCCCCACGCAUGUCUCCCAUGUGCACGCCUGCAGGUGCUCCUGGGACCAUGACUCCGAGCUCACAGGGGAAGCCCUUCCUUAGGGUGCCGUGAGCCCUGCAGCUGUGUGACAGUGUCUUCUUCUGCCUGGUGGAUGACCUGCCACGGUGGCCGGAAGGUCCCUGGUGGGGCUGUGUCCUCGAGGAACUCCCGUCUUCUCUGCUUGGCCCUAACCCCCAAGACAGUGGGGUGGGGUCUGGGCGUGGAGCCCUGCAGAAUCCCA
Molecule: long non-coding RNA, 699 nt
Filed under: Fukomys damarensis (Damara mole-rat)
Lineage: Eukaryota; Metazoa; Chordata; Mammalia; Rodentia; Bathyergidae
Description: lncRNA (ENSFDAG00000032528.1)
Source: RNAcentral